UACAGAGGUCCCAAGCGUUGUUCGGAUUCACUGGGCGUAAAGGGUGCGUAGGCGGCCGGGUAAGUCUGCUGUGAAAUCCCGCAGCUCAACUGCGGAACUGCAUUAGAUACUAUCCGGCUCGAGGAAUGGAGGGGAGACUGGAAUUCUCGGUGUAGCAGUGAAAUGCGUAGAUAUCGAGAGGAACACCAGUGGCGAAGGCGAGUCUCUGGACAUUUCCUGACGCUGAGGCACGAAAGCCAGGGGAGCAAACGGG
Molecule: ribosomal RNA, 253 nt
Filed under: uncultured bacterium
Lineage: Bacteria
Description: partial 16S ribosomal RNA
Rfam family: Bacterial small subunit ribosomal RNA
Source: RNAcentral